RNAcentral lists this ribosomal RNA (330 nucleotides) under Triticum aestivum (bread wheat). RNAcentral's name for it is "partial small subunit ribosomal RNA". Lineage: Eukaryota; Viridiplantae; Streptophyta; Magnoliopsida; Poales; Poaceae. The record is from RNAcentral.
AUGUUCCCAUUUUCAAAAAAUCAUAAAUUAAAAAAAUGUUCUUGUUUCAAAAAAACUUUUGGAAUUUCAAAAAAUGUUUGCAGUUGCAAUUUUGUUCUGAAAUUCAAAAAAUUUCGCGUUUCAAGAAUUUCAGAAAAUGUUCGUGGUUUCAAACUUUUUAUUAGAUGUCCCAUGGAAUGUUUCAUUUUUCAAAUUUUUGUUCACAGAUUCAAAAAAUGUUCACGGUUUCAAAUUUUUGUUCGGAAUUUCAUGAAAUGUUCCAUUUUUAAAAUAUUUGUUCACAAAUUCAAAAAAUGUUCGCGGUAUGAAAAUUUGUUCGGAAUUUCAUAA